Molecule: transfer RNA, 72 nt
Filed under: Candidatus Pacearchaeota archaeon
Lineage: Archaea; Nanobdellati
Also listed under: 2 other names
Description: tRNA-Gln
Rfam family: tRNA
About the family: Transfer RNA (tRNA) molecules are approximately 80 nucleotides in length. Their secondary structure includes four short double-helical elements and three loops (D, anti-codon, and T loops).
Source: RNAcentral
UGCGGGAUCGUCUAACGGUAGGACAUCUGGCUUUGACCCAGAAGAUUCUAGGUUCGAAUCCUAGUCCCGCAG